Molecule: long non-coding RNA, 214 nt
Filed under: Gallus gallus (chicken)
Lineage: Eukaryota; Metazoa; Chordata; Aves; Galliformes; Phasianidae
Description: long non-coding RNA NONGGAT009348
Source: RNAcentral
GUCGGGAGCGGCGUGGCCCUGGGGUGGCUGCCCUGAGGCCGGGCCCGCUGGCGCCGAGUGUGAGCGUGGUGCUGUCAUUGUGAUCAGCAGGCAUCCAGUGUGAGCAUUCAGCGCAGCUAUCUGCAGAGAGGUUCAAAUUGCAGGAUAUGGAAGCACCUAGGAGCAAAAACCCCAGUAUUCAUUUCAGUGCAUGUAUAGAGUGCUUAGAGCCCAG